This 496-nucleotide ribosomal RNA is filed under the name Sporothrix sp. INBio3010E. Its description in RNAcentral is "eukaryotic LSU rRNA". The stretch from base 150 to 303 matches the Rfam family "5.8S ribosomal RNA". Lineage: Eukaryota; Fungi; Ascomycota; Sordariomycetes; Ophiostomatales; Ophiostomataceae. The record is from RNAcentral.
ACCCUGUGAACUAUACCAUUUUGUUCUCGUUGCUUCUGGCAGGCGGCGGCCCUCUCUAGAGGGUGCGGCCUGCCUGCCAGAGGCGGCUUGCACGAACCUUCUAUUUUUUUUUUUACUUACCGUCUGAGUACGAUUUUAAAUCAAAUCAAAACUUUCAACAACGGAUCUCUUGGCUCUGGCAUCGAUGAAGAACGCAGCGAAAUGCGAUAAGUAAUGUGAAUUGCAGAAUUCAGCGAAUCAUCGAAUCUUUGAACGCACAUUGCGCCUGCCAGCAUUCUGGCAGGCAUGCCUGUCCGAGCGUCAUUUCCACCCUCAUGCGCCCUGUCUGCGCGUGGUGUUGGGGCUUGCUCUCCCUGCCCUGGUGCGGGAGAGGCCCUGAAAGCGAGUGGCGGGCCGCCUGGUUGGCUCCGAGCGCAGUAGAAACACACAGUUUUUUUCAUCGCUCUGGACGUCGCCGGCGGCGCCUGCCGUCAAAAGCGCACAAUGACGUGCAACU